GACGAACGCUGGCGGCGUGCUCAACACAUGCAAGUCGAGCGGUAAGGCCCUUUCGGGGGUACACGAGCGGCGAACGGGUGAGUAACACGUGGGUGACCUGCCCUCAGCUCUGGGAUAAGCCUGGGAAACCGGGUCUAAUACCGGAUAUGACUCCAUGACGCAUGUUGUGGGGUGGAAAGCCUUGUGCGGCUGAGGAUGGGCCCGCGGCCUAUCAGCUUGUUGGUGGGGUGAUGGCCUACCAAGGCGACGACGGGUAGCCGGCCUGAGAGGGCGACCGGCCACACUGGGACUGAGACACGGCCCAGACUCCUACGGGAGGCAGCAGUGGGGAAUCUUGCGCAAUGGGCGAAAGCCUGACGCAGCGACGCCGCGUGAGGGAUGACGGCCUGGUGUAAC
RNAcentral lists this ribosomal RNA (396 nucleotides) under uncultured bacterium. RNAcentral describes it as "bacterial SSU rRNA". It matches the Rfam family "Bacterial small subunit ribosomal RNA", at positions 28 to 429 of the family's 1533-position model. The record is from RNAcentral.